UCGGGAAUUUUGGGCAAUGGGCGAAAGCCUGACCCAGCAACGCCGCGUGAAGGAUGAAGUAUUUCGGUAUGUAAACUUCGAAAGAAUAGGAAGAAUAAAUGACGGUACUAUUUAUAAGGUCCGGCUAACUACGUGCCAGCAGCCGCGGUAAUACGUAGGGACCAAGCGUUGUUCGGAUUUACUGGGCGUAAAGGGCGCGUAGGCGGCAAUUCAAGUCAUCUGUGAAAUCUCCGGGCUUAACUCGGAACGGUCAGAUGAUACUGCUUUGCUAGAGUGCAGAAGGGGCAAUCGGAAUUCUUGGUGUAGCGGUGAAAUGCGUAGAUAUUAGGAAGAACACCGGUGGCGAAGGCGGCUCACUGGAUCGGCACUGACGCUGAGGUGCGAAAGCGUGGGGAGCAAACAGGAUUAGAUACCCUAGUAGUCCCUGAGCGGGCUGGCAAGGCGCAU
RNAcentral lists this ribosomal RNA (447 nucleotides) under uncultured bacterium. RNAcentral's name for it is "bacterial SSU rRNA". It matches the Rfam family "Bacterial small subunit ribosomal RNA", at positions 355 to 825 of the family's 1533-position model. The record is from RNAcentral.